GCUAUUGUAGCUCAAUAGGUAGAGCAGCUGAUUCGUAAUCAGCAGGUAGUCGGUUCGAAUCCGAUCAAUAGCUCCA
This 76-nucleotide transfer RNA is filed under the name Candidatus Paraimprobicoccus trichonymphae. RNAcentral describes it as "tRNA-Thr". It matches the Rfam family "tRNA". From Rfam's summary of the family: Transfer RNA (tRNA) molecules are approximately 80 nucleotides in length. Their secondary structure includes four short double-helical elements and three loops (D, anti-codon, and T loops). Further hydrogen bonds mediate the characteristic L-shaped molecular structure. tRNAs have two regions of fundamental functional importance: the anti-codon, which is responsible for specific mRNA codon recognition, and the 3' end, to which the tRNAs corresponding amino acid is attached (by aminoacyl-tRNA synthetases). tRNAs cope with the degeneracy of the genetic code in two manners: having more than one tRNA (with a specific anti-codon) for a particular amino acid; and 'wobble' base-pairing, i.e. permitting non-standard base-pairing at the 3rd anti-codon position. Lineage: Bacteria; Bacillati; Bacillota; Clostridia. The record is from RNAcentral.